Long non-coding RNA from Gallus gallus (chicken), 4164 nucleotides. Lineage: Eukaryota; Metazoa; Chordata; Aves; Galliformes; Phasianidae. The record is from Ensembl.
UUUCAGGUUUUCAAAUAUCAAUUCAUAACCUUAACGAAAAAGACAGAUGCAAAAUGAAUGUGCCUGUGCUUGCGCAUAUCACAUUAUCACACAUUUCACAUUAUCUCUGGUCAUCUCUGGUCACAAGAGAGAGACUAAAAGGGCUUAUUUUGCCCUUAAUCCAUCCCUUAGUUCCUCUGUUUUUCUAGAUGAGAUACCUUGUUCUAGAAAGUUUCAUCUCAGAAAGAUAUAUUCUAAAAUAACAUGCUAGAAGAUCUUGUUUUGUGUUCUGUUUGUACCUACACUUACCCCUGUUUAGUAAUAAUUAGGUCAGAGCAUAGUUCAGGCCGAUGAAAUGCUUUUCUCCUUAAGUCAACCAUCUACCUUCAUGGUCACUCUUUUUUUUUUUUUUUUUUAAUGCUUGUUUUAGAGUUAGCCUUCAGUGAGAUAAAGUAAAAUAUUUUUAGUCAGUUUUAUUUGGUAAGCAAUUCUGACUUGACUGAAUUAAGCUAAAGUUUGCGGCAAGUCAACAAAGCUAACUUUAUUUUAUAUAUUUAAUUAUUUUACUGGGAGAGCCAAGGAGGUUUUAGAUAUCUUGAGAAGCAAAUGGACAAUUAAACUCUACAGAAAUUCAAAAUUGCCUGCUGAUUCUCAGUGCUAAGCAAACAUAAGCUCUAAUUUCUCUUCUUUUUUUUUCCUGAUAUUCUGUUCCUGUGCUCACACUCAGACAUUUAGAUCUUCAUACACAGAAGCACUUGGUUUGUAUAUCUACCUAGAUUUUGGGCCCUGCUAAGAACACCAAGGCAGCUGUAGCCACGCCACCAAGCCCAUCUUGCUGCCUGUGACAGUGGCCUGGGGAAGGACUUGACACCCCCUACAAACAUUUUCCAGACCUUUGGCUUGUUUGCAGCUUGGAGGCUCUCUGAUACUUUCGCACUUGUUUGCAAAAUGCCAACGAGCCCAGAGACCAGAGUUCAGAUCUCACCUAGACCCAAGUCAGUGUUCUGAGGACAAGGCUUACUCAUUCAAAGUCAAAUGGCUUAAUAAAGGAGGGUGGAGGCUAUGUUCUCCAGACUGCCUGAGCACUUGGCUCCAAGCUGAGAGCUGUGGGUACGAAUCCCUGCUGGAAAUCUGGACCUGCAGUGCUUUCAGCGCUGAUCUGCUGGAGUCAGCCACACCUUGCAGCACCUCAGAGAUGGGUCCCAGCCUGGGCCUAGCUGAAUUUCUUCUUGGUUGCCUAAAAUGUGAUUCUCUACUCAGUGGACUCAUUUUGACAGCCUUUCCAAGGCUGUCAGUACAAGGCAAACAAAAUCAUGCCUUGCCCUUGAUUCUGAGAUGGUUGAAUUGCAGGUCAGCUCCAGUGUUGGGCUAUUAUCACAGUGCUAAAUUUGAUCUGGUGAGUCCUGCUGGGGUAAAGAGGAUAUUAGUUCAUGCUCACUCUGCUGACGUGGCUGCGCAAUUUCUGGUCAGCAGUACAAGAAGCACAAGAGCGAGGCUGUGUAGCAUAGCCUGAGGUAUCUAACUCUUCUGUCAUGACGUAUGAAGCCUAAAGUGCAUACCUCAGAGCUCUAGCUCCCACACGUCUAUGAGAAGUGUGCAGAUAUAGUCACAUACAUAGCAUGAUGCGUCACCAUUGCCUCAGUAAUCUGCAAAGCAGGUUAUUGUCAAAGCUAAUGUUCAGGGCCAAGAGAGUUGUCACUGCGGUUACUUACACUGAUGCAUGCACCAGAGAUCUGUCUUUUCUUUUUCUUCCUUUUUUUUUUUUUUUCUUUUUUUUUUCUUCCCAUAGUCACCACAUAAUUUCCACCCAGUCUUCUCAAAUCUUAAUGCUCUGUUCAAAUACGUGCUUUGUGUGCCUCUGGUUUCACCAUGGUGGAUUGUCAUGCGUGGCAGCACUGCAGACUUGUGUAGUUGAAUGUGUAGAGAAAAAGCUGUAAAGAGAACAGAAAAAAGCAUGAACAACGAUGUCAGUUAGUAGAAUUUAAUUAUAACUUAGAAGCAAAGCUAGUUGACUGAGCUUGUGUUAAACGGGUUUGGAGAACCAGGUGAUCUAAUAGCUCUUUGAUUUUUCAGGUAAGAAACUAGUGAAGGACGUGAUUCUCUUAAGAGCACGUGCUCCUCCUCUUCACUGUGGCUAAUUUUGUAUCUCUGUGACUAUUUCUAUGUAUUUUGCUUGUCUGAAAUCUACUGACAACAGUAAUUAGGUGAAUACUACUUUUUUUUUUUUCUUGGUGCGUGUGUUACAAAGGGCAAUACUGAAUCAGAGAGAAGACAUAUCUUGCUAAGGUUCUGAGCUCCAAGAGUAAGUCAAAGACUUCAAGAUUAGCUAUUUAUGUGCUACUUGGACUUUCAAGUAACCUUUUUUUCACUCAGAAGGGCAGUUAGGCCACCAUUAUGUUGUUCUAGCUGACUCCAAACCCACUUAUCCACUUCAAGGUAUGAAAUGAUCAAAUCUUAGAAUGAGUGCAGCAGUCAAAACACCAAGUUUUUGGUGUCUCUACUCUGCUCAAAUAAUGGCACUGACGUUUUAAAUGAAAUAGUUUGACAGCUAUGAAGGUUUGUUUUUCAGGUGGAGCAGCUUAGCAGGGUAGCUGCAAGGGAAUUUUGCAGGAUGGAUCAGAGAGUAGUACUUCCAGCACCAAGGCCAUCUGCUGGCAUUGUCACUGUAAUACUGUCUGAGGAGCAACUAUCGUUACUACAGAUAUAUAGUAUGAAAUAAUCUUACUGUUAAGGAGAGAGAGACAGAAGAAAACUAUUAUUUAGGCUUGCUUAAUUUUUGAAGCUCCCCUCAACUUUUUGAGCUUCAGCCUUACCCUGACAAAGAAACUCCCAUCACAGCUGUAUGUGAGUCAGAAGUCCGGGUAUAUUUAGCUAAUGCUUGUAGAAGUUGCGCCACCUGGAGCCAGUUACACAGAACGGAAAAUACCAAAUGUUUUCUAAUGACCUGUGAUGAAAACAUACAUUUUGCCUGUCCAAGUAAAGCUUGAAGACAGCAAAGCGUGUUCCUGCUGCUUGCAAGAAGAGAAUUAUAAUAAAAUUAGCACUUUGUCGCUGCCAGCAUUUCAUAUGGAGUUCUUUAUAAAUAUUCAUAUAAAUGACCCAUCUUGCUAAUUAAGUAGUUGUCUCUAUACAGAGAAUGGUACUUCGUGGUAUGCAAUGGGUGUUAAUCUCCCCCCAGAAGUUAAGUACAAGGCGCUUUUAUGGUCUGUGAUCUUAACUGUGCUAGGAGCUUCAUUCAGAUACAUAACUUGUCCUGCCUAGAAUUCAGAGUAAGAUCAAACGAUAAAGGUCAACCUCAGUAAACAUUUGCCCAUAGAAAUGGCAUUAAAUAGCUAUGGUGUUCCUCCUCAUAUCCAUCAUGCUGUGUUUUGUGGAAGACUGAACUGAAAUUCAAUUUGCCUGUUGAUGUUUACACCAGCAGCUGUUUUGAGAAUUUCAGCAUUCAUUUCAUCAAGCAAGUAAAUAUUUACUACUCUGUUUCUCCCAAAGCAGCAAUGGCUAUUAAAUGAUAACAAAAGAAGUUGUGGUAUUUGUGCAGAAAUGAAUAAAUCUCCAAUUUUUCUCCCAGGAGUCACCUGACGAGGCAGAAAAAGUGAUUAAAUGUGCAUUUAAGCAUAUUUACAUGGAUGCACACCUUUGAGAAGCCUACUCUGUGGUAGUUAAGAAUCACAGAUGUUGAUUGCAGUGCCUACCUUGUUCUGUUACAACUGCUAUUUCUGUUGACAAAAAAGGCGAGUGCAGGUUAUAGCUUUUAGUUUCCAUUAGUACAUGUAAAAGAGACCGAUGUGAAGAAGUCUGUUCUUCCUUUUGUUUAUAUAAGGGUUUGCUCACUUUCAGUGUGCUGUACCAGAGAAAGUCCACAGAGAACAGUAAUACUCAGCAGGUGCCAAUAAGGACAGAAUCGGAGAGCUAAUUUAAUCUGCUUCUCAGGUUGCUGAAGGUAGCAGCUGGAAUUCCACUAAUUAUCUCCUUCCCAUCUUAGCUUAUAAAAUCAGACCCACUGCAACUCAGCUUAUGAGAUGCGAUUAAACUGGUAUUGCUGGAAGAUGCUUUUAUAUGACACAAACAAACAAACAAACAAACACUGUAUGUUCUUUUUCCUGAUGCGUGCAUAUGGCUGGUUCUGCAACACUGCCAUGCUGUCUUUGCUAGGACAGAGAGUGACUUUUACCUCCUAACCUUGAU